This 253-nucleotide ribosomal RNA is filed under the name uncultured bacterium. RNAcentral describes it as "partial 16S ribosomal RNA". It matches the Rfam family "Bacterial small subunit ribosomal RNA", at positions 524 to 776 of the family's 1533-position model. The record is from RNAcentral.
UACGAAGGGGGCUAGCGUUGCUCGGAAUCACUGGGCGUAAAGCGCACGUAGGCGGAUUGUUAAGUCAGGGGUGAAAUCCUGGAGCUCAACUCCAGAACUGCCUUUGAUACUGGCGAUCUCGAGUCCGGGAGAGGUGAGUGGAACUGCGAGUGUAGAGGUGAAAUUCGUAGAUAUUCGCAGGAACACCAGUGGCGAAGGCGGCUCACUGGACUGGUAUUGACGCUGAGGUGCGAAAGCGUGGGGAGCAAACAGG